RNAcentral lists this long non-coding RNA (438 nucleotides) under Castor canadensis (American beaver). Its description in RNAcentral is "lncRNA (ENSCCNG00000020147.1)". The record is from RNAcentral. Lineage: Eukaryota; Metazoa; Chordata; Mammalia; Rodentia; Castoridae.
CUUUGUUUUCCCAGUUUUUGGUGUAUUCCUUUCCAGCUAAGAAACAACAGGAAACUUGAGAAACUUCAUCCCUAGGCACAGGCGGGGCCCCGGGGCGGGCGGCGGCGCGCACAGCCGGCUCAGCAGCGGCGGAGGCGGACCAGCGCCCCCUGGUGGACGUCCCUGGCAAAGGUCACCUCCGUCGAUCCUGUUAAAGGCAAUGACCUUCUCAGCCUCAUCCUUCUCGGCGUGCCCCUGCUGACCAGGAAAAGGUUGCUGAUACAGGAGGCGAAGGGCUGAUGCCCUCCUGCCACACCUUAGGGACACGGCUUAUCAUGGAACUCUUCCAGGACACCAAGAAGGAGGGGAAGGACCAAAGUCCCCUUGUUACUACAGACCUGUUUCACAACCCGCUCUGGGUGCUGUAGGGCCCCCAUCCCUGAGGGUACAUCUGUGAAG